AACAGGAUUAGAUACCCUGGUAGUCCACGCCGUAAACGAUGUCGACUUGGAGGUUGUGCCCUUGAGGCGUGGCUUCCGGAGCUAACGCGUUAAGUCGACCGCCUGGGGAGUACGGCCGCAAGGUUAAAACUCAAAUGAAUUGACGGGGGCCCGCACAAGCGGUGGUGCAUGUGGUUUAAUUCGAUGCAACGCGAAGAACCUUACCUACUCUUGACAUCCAGAGAACUUAGCAGAGAUGCUUUGGUGCCUUCGGGAACUCUGAGACAGGUGCUGCAUGGCUGUCGUCAGCUCGUGUUGUGAAAUGUUGGGUUAAGUCCCGCAACGAGCGCAACCCUUAUCCUUUGUUGCCAGCGGUUAGGCCGGGAACUCAAAGGAGACUGCCAGUGAUAAACUGGAGGAAGGUGGGGGUGACGUCAAGUCAUCAUGGCCCUUACGAGUAGGGCUACACACGUGCUACAAUGGCGCAUACAAAGAGAAGCGACCUCGCGAGAGCAAGCGGACCUCAUAAAGUGCGUCGUAGUCCGGAUUGGAGUCUGCAACUCGACUCCAUGAAGUCGGAAUCGCUAGUAAUCGUGGAUCAGAAUGCCACGGUGAAUACGUUCCCGGGCCUUGUACACACCGCCCGUCACACCAUGGGAGUGGGUUGCGAAAGAAGUAGGUAGCUUAACCUUCGGGAGGGCGCUUACCACUUUGUGAUUCAUGACUGGGGUGAAGUCGUAACAAGGUAACC
This 730-nucleotide ribosomal RNA is filed under the name uncultured bacterium. RNAcentral describes it as "bacterial SSU rRNA". It matches the Rfam family "Bacterial small subunit ribosomal RNA", at positions 771 to 1501 of the family's 1533-position model. The record is from RNAcentral.